GACGAACGCUGGCGGCGUGCUUAACACAUGCAAGUCGAACGGAAAGGCCCUGCUUUUGUGGGGUGCUCGAGUUGCGAACGGGUGAGUAACACUUGAGUAACCUGCCCUUGACUUUGGGUUAACGUCAGGAAACUUGGGCUCAUACCGGAUAGGAGCUCCUGCUGCAUGGUGGGGGUUGGAUAGUUUCGGUGGUUGGGGAUGGACUCGCGGCUUAUCAGCUUGUUGGUGUGGUAGUGUCUUACCAAGGCUUUGACGGGUAGCCGUCCUGAGAGGGUCAGAGGCCAAAUUGGGACGGAGAUGCGGCCCAGACUACUACGGGAGGGAGCGGUGGAGAAUAUUGCACAAUGGGAGGAAGCCUGAUGCAGCAACGCCGCGUGCGGGAUGAGGGCAAUGGGGUUGUAAAGCGAUUUCGCCUGUGACGAAGAGUGAGUGACGGUAAUGGGUAAAGAAGCACCGGCUAACUACGUG
Molecule: ribosomal RNA, 468 nt
Filed under: uncultured bacterium
Lineage: Bacteria
Description: partial 16S ribosomal RNA
Rfam family: Bacterial small subunit ribosomal RNA
Source: RNAcentral